This 240-nucleotide unclassified non-coding RNA is filed under the name uncultured fungus. Its description in RNAcentral is "sequence contains ITS2". The stretch from base 1 to 52 matches the Rfam family "5.8S ribosomal RNA", at positions 103 to 154 of the family's 154-position model. Lineage: Eukaryota; Fungi. The record is from RNAcentral.
AACGCACAUUGCACCCUCUGGUAUUCCAGGGGGUAUGCCUGUUCGAGCGUCAUUGCAACCCUCAAGCACUGCUUGGUAUUGGAUUUCAUCACUAUGGUGUGUCUCAAAAGUAUUGGCAGUAGCAACUUAGCUUCUAGCAUAGUAAAUUUCUUGCUUUGGAGCUUAGCUGUCUAACUACCUAGAACUUCUAAUUUAUCAAAGGUUGACCUCGGAUCAGGUAGGGAUACCCGCUGAACUUAA